Carica papaya (papaya) is the source of this 193-nucleotide non-coding RNA. NCBI's taxonomy places the organism in Eukaryota, Viridiplantae, Streptophyta, Magnoliopsida, Brassicales, Caricaceae. The record is from RefSeq and is a predicted model, not a curated record.
GCAGAUAGCUGAAGAUUAUUCCCACUGUGAAUUUUUGAUACGUCUACCGGGGUACUGUCCUAUGCCUGCUUUUCGUGAUGUUAUUGAUAUACCUCUUGUUGUGAGGAGGUUACACAAAUCUAGAGAAGAGGUGAGGAAAGAGCUUGGAGUUAAGGACAACAUGAAGCUAGUAAUUUUCAAUUUUGGUGGUCAG